Molecule: ribosomal RNA, 442 nt
Filed under: uncultured bacterium
Lineage: Bacteria
Description: partial 16S ribosomal RNA
Rfam family: Bacterial small subunit ribosomal RNA
Source: RNAcentral
CCUACGGGAGGCAGCAGUGGGGAAUAUUGCACAAUGGGGGGAACCCUGAUGCAGCGACGCCGCGUGAGUGAAGAAGUAUUUCGGUACGUAAAGCUCUAUCAGCAGGGAAGAAAAAAGGACGGUACCUGAGUAAGAAGCCCCGGCUAACUACGUGCCAGCAGCCGCGGUAAUACGUAGGGGGCAAGCGAUAUCCGGAAUUACGGGGUGGAAAGGGAGAGUAGACGGCAAGGCCAGUCCGGAGUGGAAUGCGGCGGCUCAACUGCAGAACUGCAAUGGAAACUGGAUGGCUUGAGUGCAGGUGAGGUAGGCGGAAUUCGUGGUGUAGCGGUGAAAUGCUUAGAUAUCAGGAGGAACUCCGAUGGCGAAGGCAGCUUACUAGACUGUCACUGACAUUGAUGCUCGAAAGUGUGGGUAUCAAACAGGAUUAGAUACCCGAGUAGUC